GUGGGGAAUAUUGCACAAUGGGGGAAACCCUGAUGCAGCAACGCCGCGUGAAGGAAGAAGUAUUUCGGUAUGUAAACUUCUAUCAGCAGGGAAGAAAAUGACGGUACCUGACUAAGAAGCCCCGGCUAACUACGUGCCAGCAGCCGCGGUAAUACGUAGGGGGCAAGCGUUAUCCGGAUUUACUGGGUGUAAAGGGAGCGUAGGUGGUAUGGCAAGUCAGAUGUGAAAGCCCGGGGCUCAACCCCGGGACUGCAUUUGAAACUGUCAGACUAGAGUGCAGGAGAGGUAAGUGGAAUUCCUAGUGUAGCGGUGAAAUGCGUAGAUAUUAGGAGGAACACCAGUGGCGAAGGCGGCUUACUGGACUGUAACUGACACUGAGGCUCGAAAGCGUGGGGAGCAAACAGGAUUAGAAACCCGGGUAGUCC
This 425-nucleotide ribosomal RNA is filed under the name uncultured bacterium. RNAcentral describes it as "partial 16S ribosomal RNA". It matches the Rfam family "Bacterial small subunit ribosomal RNA", at positions 354 to 796 of the family's 1533-position model. The record is from RNAcentral.